GCGGGCGUCGUCGUCUCGGCCCUGCAGCCGCGCCAGGAGUCCGCGCUGCACAAAGCUCUGGCGGGCGGCGCGGCCCCGGCCGCCGCUCAGCUCCACCGCGCGUUCCAGAUCCUCCAGGGCGCCUGCGGGACCGACGAGACGGGCGGGGCGGGGGUCAGCGGAGGCCAGGGCGGCCUUGCCCGAGCCCCAGCCCACCUGCGGCCGCGCGGAUCACCGUGGUUCUUGCGGCUCCCGGGCGUGGCCAUUUACAACCCGCCUCGCACCUGCUAGAGAAAAGACCCCGGCCAUGGAUGGGAGACCUAGGACAAAGAUGGAAAAGAGGUCAGACACAAAUUUUGCAAUGCUUGGCACCAGACAGCUGCUCAAUGAGGAACACAACUGCAUCAUGGAGAAUCCCCAGCAUCCUCAAACCGUUAACACCUAGAAGAAUCAGAAGCACCAGGGAAGUGAGGAGCGCAGUCAACAGGAAACAGCAUGGUCCUACAGAAAUGCCUAUGCUAUAGUCACUCUGCCAGAGGCUGCUCCAGGGUGAAUUAUAGUACAUAUUAGCUCGAAAUUAGCAUCAGAUAGCCAUUAAAAUGAUGCUGAUACAGAUCUAUCAAUAUGGAAAAUGUUUGUGAUAGACGGCUAAGUGAAAAAAGCAUGCCACCAA
Molecule: long non-coding RNA, 652 nt
Filed under: Homo sapiens (human)
Lineage: Eukaryota; Metazoa; Chordata; Mammalia; Primates; Hominidae
Description: non-protein coding lnc-IFT46-1:11
Source: RNAcentral